AGUGGGGAAUAUUGCACAAUGGGCGCAAGCCUGAUGCAGCCAUGCCGCGUGAGUGAAGAAGGCCUUAGGGUUGUAAAACUCUUUCACCGGUGAAGAUAAUGACGGUAGCCGGAGAAGAAGCCCCGGCCAACUCCGUGCCAGCAGCCGCGGUAAUACGGAGGGGGCUAGCGUUGUUCGGAAUUACUGGGCGUAAAGCGCGCGUAGGCGGGCUGGUCAGUUGGGGGUGAAAUCCCGGGGCUUAACCUCGGAACUGCCCUCAAUACUACCAGUCUAGAGAUCGAGAGAGGUAAGUGGAAUUCCUAGUGUAGAGGUGAAAUUCGUAGAUAUUAGGAAGAACACCAGUGGCGAAGGCGGCUUACUGGCUCGAUACUGACGCUGAGGCGCGAAAGCGUGGGGAGCAAA
This 402-nucleotide ribosomal RNA is filed under the name uncultured Rhodospirillaceae bacterium. RNAcentral's name for it is "bacterial SSU rRNA". It matches the Rfam family "Bacterial small subunit ribosomal RNA", at positions 353 to 772 of the family's 1533-position model. Lineage: Bacteria; Pseudomonadati; Pseudomonadota; Alphaproteobacteria; Rhodospirillales; Rhodospirillaceae. The record is from RNAcentral.